Molecule: long non-coding RNA, 5112 nt
Filed under: Lynx pardinus (Iberian lynx)
Lineage: Eukaryota; Metazoa; Chordata; Mammalia; Carnivora; Felidae
Source: RNAcentral
GGGAUGCAGUCGGGUGGGCCCCGCCUGGUCCCUGACUGCCUGCCCCUGUGUCUGCAGCGCUCCUUCACCCUCAUCGUGGAGGCCUGGGACUGGGACAAUGACACCACCCCGGAUGGUGAGUCCUCUGGGAGCCGGGUGGCUGGGGCAGCCAGUUGCCUGCAGGGCCUCCCUCAGGACAUGGGGAGGCUACCCUCUUAGCCAGACGCGUGUGGCCAGAUUCCUGGUCCUCUGCCUGCUGGGGACAAAGACCCGUGACCCCGUACCCCAGGGGUCUAGUGUGCUGUCUCCCUCUUUGCCCUGGCUGCUAGGAAGCUGUGCCACAUUUGUGAUGUGCAGAGCUGUGCCUGGACCCUGACCCCAGUCCUGGCUUCUUCUGUUCUGUUCUCCCGAUGAGAUGUUUUCCCCAGGGCCAUGUCAGGCGCAUGGCGGAGUGGGCAUCCCUGAGAGGCUCUCUGCAUUUGCGGCCCCUCCUCUGCCUUUGUGUCCUGGAACGUGGGGGCUCGCUGGCCCUUCCCUGAGGCUCACGUGCCGGCCGGCCGGCCAGCCUGUGCAUGGGGUCUGUGGGCCUUAUGGUGACGGGGCAGAGGGCAGGAGCCGUGCAGGUGGCAGGGGUGAGCCGAUGUGUUUGUGAGCAGCGUGGGCCUGCACGGUGGGGGGUGACGAGGUCAGCGAGGCCAAAGUCAGGUCACAGAGGCUGCGCGGGCCCCCGUGAGGAUGCUGGCCUUUUCCUAGAGGCAGGAUCGCUCAGGCCACCGCGCGUAGGGUGGACUGUCUGGCCAGGGUGGAGGCCAGGGAGGAGGCCGCUGGGUGCCGGGCCCAGGGGCGGCCUGUGGGGCGAGCGGGGCCCUGGCCACGCCGAAGGUAGACGUCGUGAGAGAGAGGGUGGGGUCGGGAUGGCCCGAGGAGCAGGCGGGACGGAGGGCCAUCGCUGGGAUGGACGCUGUGAGGGUGAUGUCGCGAGGGCCCUCGGGUCCCCCGUCUGCCCGGAGGGCCCGGGCUCGGGGCAGUGGUCGGUGGGGAGCGGGUAGGUGUGGGGACGGGUCGGCCGGGCACCUUGGCCAGACGGGCUCAGUGGGCUGUGGGCUGUGAGGCCAGAGCGGGAGUGCUCCCCAGGCCCUUGAGUGGUGCAGCGGGAGGGAGAGUGAGGUGCCUGGGGCUCCCGAGCCUUUCAUUGUGGAAAACCCCAAAUCGGAACAGAAGCGUUGGGGGUGGCUCCCCCCCCCCCGCCCCGUGUGCCCACGGCUGUCAGCCUGCCCCCUCACCCCCUUGUGGCUUAAUUGGAAGCGAGGCCCAGCUGUGGGGUCACGGGACCCACGUGUGUCUCAGGGGCGGGAGAAGCUUUGUGUUAAGACGGUGUGGGGGGCGGCGGGCGGGGGGGGGGACGAACCCUCGAGAGGGAGGGCAGUCCAGCCGGCCCCGCCCCUGCAGAGCUGUGGUCCCCCCUCGGCCCCGCAGCCCCUGCGGCGGCCCGGCCAGCGUCCCCGUGGCCCCUGCUGACUCUGCCGCCCCCCCAAGAGGAGCUGCUGAUCGAGCGGGUGUCGCACGCGGGCAUGAUCAACCCCGAGGACCGCUGGAAGAGCCUGCACUUCAGCGGCCACGUGGCGCACCUGGAGCUGCAGAUCCGCGUGCGCUGCGACGAGAACUAUUACAGCGCCACGUGCAACAAGUUCUGCCGGCCGCGCGACGACUUCUUCGGCCACUACACCUGCGACCAGUAUGGCAACAAAGCCUGCAUGGACGGCUGGAUGGGCCGGGAGUGCAAGGAGGGUGAGUGCAGGCCGGGUGGGCAGCACUCGAGGGGCACGCGGGGGCGGGGGGCGGGUGCGGCGAGGGGGCAGCCCGUCGGGGCGCCGGGCGGAGGGCUGCAGGGUGCGGGCCGGCGGUGGGGCCGGCCUCGGCUGGCACCUCUCACGUCCUCUCUGUUCACAGCGGUGUGUAAACAGGGGUGUAAUCUGCUCCACGGGGGGUGUGCCGUGCCCGGGGAAUGCAGGUAAGUGCUUGGGGGCGACGGCGGUCCAGCGGGAUGUCAGGGACAGAGCCGAUGCCACGCGUGUCCAUGAGCCUGGGUGCACGUGUGCUCCUUCAGGAUCCCGUGGCAAGGGCCCGAAGACGGGUGCCCUCAGCACAGGAGGCACACAGGGCACCGGGGCUCAUGCUUGUGGCUGUGCGGGUGUCCCGGAGUGGAUUUGAGGUGGGGUCUGAGAAGACGAGUGGGGGGCUGGGGGAGGGGGGCGCAGGUCUUCCAGCCAGAGUUGCUGAGCAAGGGAGCUGCCGUGACUGAGGCCGCCGGCCUUGGGCAGAGCCGGCAGGGCAGAGAAAGGGAGGUGGCGUUGGGGGCGGUGUCUCUCCUGUUCUGGGAGACACCGCCAAAGCAGAGGGAUGGAUGUGGAGAGACCCAGCCUGACACACACGUGGGGAGACACAUGUCGUAGCACACGCAGGACAAGCUUGAGGGUCUAGGGCACCAGGACGGGACACAGGAUGCGCUGGGGGGUCGCGGGGGCACCAGGAUGUGACACAGGACGGGCUGGGGGUCGUGGGGGCACCAGGAGAAGACACGGGACGGGCUGGGGGGUCGUGGGGGCACCAGGAGAAGACACAGGACGGGCUGGGGGGUCGUGGGGGCACCAGGAGAAGACACAGGACAGGCUGGGCAUCGAGGGGGCCCCAGGAGAGUGAGAGAUCCCGUCAGCCUCCUGCAGACAGGGGAAGCCAGGGACAGGGUCAGGGGGCAGCAGGCAGGCAGAGGGGCGGGACGGCUGGAGGGCCCGGGGCCUGCGACUUGGAGGGGGCGUAGGGCGUAGAGCAGGGCCCUGGUACGGCGUGUGAGUGAGGGUGGGCGCAGAGGUGCACGGGCAGCCUGGGAGCCGGCUGCCCAGGUGGACGUACUCAGGGAGCCCCUGGGAGGGGCUGCCAGCUGUGGGCCGAGUAGGUGGGUCGGGGUGAGGGUGGCCCUGCCCUGGCUGCAGGGUGCAUUGGCCCCAGGACCUCACUCUGGGGGCGGGUGUGCUGUCACGUGCGUUUCGUAGACAAGGAUGUUGAGCAUGGAGAAGUCACUUCCCAGGUCACCCAGUGUUGAGACUGCACAGGAGGGUGCGGUUUGAGAGCUGGCUGGCUCGGGAGAUGGAAGAGGGGGGACCCAUCUGUGUGUCCUGUGGGGGUUCCAGCCCGGGAGGCGGUGUGAGGAGAGCCCGGAGGGUCCCAGGGCAAGGGGGGGGGCAGGCCCCCCGCCCCGCCGAGCCGUAUCCUGGGUCCGCCUGGGGCAGGGCCAUGCCCUGCAGCCCUGCCCUCUGGCCUGUGUGAUGGGUGUGAGCGUGGGGGCCGUGGGCAGACCAGUCCACGGGGAGGGGUGCGGCCGGGGUGCAGCAGGGCUGCCCCCUGGUGCCAUGCACCGCCUCGAUGCCACGCCAGCAGCCCUUGGUGGCCAGUGACCGGGCGACCAGGGUGGGAGGGAGGUGGGAGAGAAGUGGAUCUUUUCCCACCCCCUCCUGCUGCCGUGGGCCGUGGGGAGCAGUAGGUGAGCCCCCCACCACCCCUGUGGGUGGAGCGCAGCUGCUGCUGGAGGCUCAGGGCUCAGGUUUCAGUGCAGGACACCCCCCCCCCCCCCCCCACCGGAUGCUGCGGGAAUGGCUCUGCCUUCCUGCCGCCUCCUCCCUGGGCUUCUGGAGCCACAGGCCAGGGAAGCCAGGGAGGGUGGGGCCUGGUGAGCGCUGCCCCACCCAAGGCUGAGAGCACAUCCUCGGGACCUGCGGGGUCCUUCCUGGCGGGUGCCCCGCCCCCAGCCCCGGUCCCCUCUCGUCACCUGUAGGUAGGGAGGAUUCUGGGUGAGGACGUGCAGCCCAUGCAUGCACAGGCCCUCCUGGCAAGUGGGGGGCUGGGCGGUGGAGCCCCUCUUUCCAGCCUGGGUUUCCCCGUGUCUUGCCUGCUGAGCCUGUCGGCAUCCCUUGGCGGCGGGGCUUGUGGGCAGCUCAGGAAAAGGCCACCGCUCCUUCCUUUACAAAAAUAAACUCACAUGGCAGGUGCCAGCAUGGAGGGGACGUUGCCUCGAUGACCGUGCCAUGACCUUCCUGUUCUAGGAAGGGGGCCCCCGGGGGGCCUGUCCAGAGCCUGGAGGGUAGCCCGCUGAUCCCCGGGGGGCACUGCGGGACAAUGGGCUCUUUCUCCUGACUGCAGUGCCCCCAAGUCAGGCUCAGCUCUGGCGGGGCCACACCUGGGAUGGGACUGCACUGGUGGCCUGGGUGCCCUCUGUGCCCCAGCCGCCUGCCUCUCCUGAAGGACUUCCCAGAGAGAGCGUUGGCCCGUAGCUGAAGGCGGGGCUAGGCCUGGGGUCGUGGCCUUGGGGCCAAGAGGCCUCUCUGGGCUGUUGGCCAGGAAGCGGGUGAGUCCUCCUGGGUCAGGAACUGCUCUGAAUCUGAGCGUGGCCUCUCGCACUGCUGGCUCGGGGCCGGGGGUGGGCCUCUGCAUCCCCCAUCUGUGAGAUGGGUCUUCGAUAGGGUUUUGCUGGCAGAGAGGUUGCCGCCCUUGAGUUGCAGGUGAGGUCACACGCUGUGCCCGGGGUCUCGCAGGGGGGCUGAGCCUGGAGCUCUCCCCUGGUGUCCCAGCAGCCCGCCUGGCCCCGGGUGCCGCCCAGCCCUGGCAGCUCCUGGAGCGCUUGAGCUGGCACCGUCGCUCCUGGGGUCCCCGCGGGGCCUUCCUUUCUCAGCGCCUGCUCUUGGGGCCCUGCUCAGGGGUGAGUCCCAAAAUAGCUCGGGGGGGGGGAGUGGCUGGGCAGCUGCGGCCGGCCAUCCGAGGCCAGCGGCCGGGAAGUGCCCGUGACGGUGCGGGCUGGCUGGCGGGCCGUCACCCCCGCCCGGCGCGGGGCCUGCCUCGGUUCAGAGGCCGAGGCCGCCGGCCCCCCCCCCCCCCCCGGGGUGGCCCACGUGACCGCGCCCACGUCCGGGCCUCCCCCGCAGCGGCCACGGCUCCUGGAGUCCACCCUCCCCCACCGGGCCUCGUGCCUCUCGGCCUAAUGCAGGUGCAGCUACGGCUGGCAGGGGCGGUUCUGCGACGAGUGCGUCCCAUACCCUGGCUGUGUCCACGGCAGCUGUGUGGAUCCCUGGCAGUGCAAUUGUG